RNAcentral lists this ribosomal RNA (398 nucleotides) under uncultured bacterium. RNAcentral's name for it is "bacterial SSU rRNA". It matches the Rfam family "Bacterial small subunit ribosomal RNA", at positions 361 to 776 of the family's 1533-position model. The record is from RNAcentral.
AUAUUGGACAAUGGGCGCAAGCCUGAUCCAGCCAUGCCGCGUGAGUGAUGAAGGCCUUAGGGUUGUAAAGCUCUUUCGCCGGUGAAGAUAAUGACGGUAACCGGAGAAGAAGCCCCGGCUAACUUCGUGCCAGCAGCCGCGGUAAUACGAAGGGGGCUAGCGUUGUUCGGAAUUACUGGGCGUAAAGCGCACGUAGGCGGAUUGUUAAGUCGGGGGUGAAAUCCCAGGGCUCAACCCUGGAACUGCCUCCGAUACUGGCAUUCUCGAGUCCGGGAGAGGUGAGUGGAAUUCCGAGUGUAGAGGUGAAAUUCGUAGAUAUUCGGAAGAACACCAGUGGCGAAGGCGGCUCACUGGCCCGGAACUGACGCUGAGGUGCGAAAGCGUGGGGAGCAAACAGG